GAGAGAGAGAGAGAGAGAGAGGACGGUCUGUGAGCUUCUAGGUAAUUUUCUAGCUGAUUCCGGUGACCAACAUUGGCGAUCCAAGCAACGCUCGACUCUGUAUGAACCCAGCUUCAUUUUCCAACUGGUGGCCAAAAUUACAAGAACCAAGGAGAGAGAAAUGGGCAGAUUCGAAACUUUCUGAUCAGAUCCCGGAUGAUCCGACUAUCGAAUCGGUUAUCCGAUACCACCGUUGAAUUCAGAGUGACAAAACCUUUGAGAUGGAACUAACUCUACUCUGAUUAGACACCAUUUGAAAAAGGUGAUUAUCUGAUGAUCCAUAUCGC
RNAcentral lists this unclassified non-coding RNA (326 nucleotides) under Hevea brasiliensis (rubber tree). Lineage: Eukaryota; Viridiplantae; Streptophyta; Magnoliopsida; Malpighiales; Euphorbiaceae. The record is from RNAcentral.